RNAcentral lists this ribosomal RNA (1453 nucleotides) under Nostoc punctiforme SAG 60.79. RNAcentral's name for it is "bacterial SSU rRNA". It matches the Rfam family "Bacterial small subunit ribosomal RNA". Lineage: Bacteria; Bacillati; Cyanobacteriota; Cyanophyceae; Nostocales; Nostocaceae. The record is from RNAcentral.
GAGUUUGAUCCUGGCUCAGGAUGAACGCUGGCGGUAUGCUUAACACAUGCAAGUCGAACGGAAUCUUCGGAUUUAGUGGCGGACGGGUGAGUAACGCGUGAGAAUCUGGCUUCAGGUCUGGGACAACCACUGGAAACGGUGGCUAAUACCGGAUGUGCCGAGAGGUGAAAGGCUUGCUGCCUGAAGAUGAGCUCGCGUCUGAUUAGCUAGUAGGUGUGGUAAGAGCGCACCUAGGCGACGAUCAGUAGCUGGUCUGAGAGGAUGAUCAGCCACACUGGGACUGAGACACGGCCCAGACUCCUACGGGAGGCAGCAGUGGGGAAUUUUCCGCAAUGGGCGAAAGCCUGACGGAGCAAUACCGCGUGAGGGAGGAAGGCUCUUGGGUUGUAAACCUCUUUUCUCAGGGAAGAAAAAAAUGACGGUACCUGAGGAAUAAGCAUCGGCUAACUCCGUGCCAGCAGCCGCGGUAAUACGGAGGAUGCAAGCGUUAUCCGGAAUGAUUGGGCGUAAAGCGUCCGCAGGUGGCUGUGUAAGUCUGCUGUUAAAGAGUCUAGCUCAACUAGAUAAAGGCAGUGGAAACUACACGGCUAGAGUGCGUUCGGGGCAGAGGGAAUUCCUGGUGUAGCGGUGAAAUGCGUAGAGAUCAGGAAGAACACCGGUGGCGAAGGCGCUCUGCUAGGCCGCAACUGACACUGAGGGACGAAAGCUAGGGGAGCGAAUGGGAUUAGAUACCCCAGUAGUCCUAGCCGUAAACGAUGGAUACUAGGCGUGGCUUGUAUCGACCCGAGCCGUGCCGUAGCUAACGCGUUAAGUAUCCCGCCUGGGGAGUACGCACGCAAGUGUGAAACUCAAAGGAAUUGACGGGGGCCCGCACAAGCGGUGGAGUAUGUGGUUUAAUUCGAUGCAACGCGAAGAACCUUACCAAGGCUUGACAUGUCGCGAAUCUUCUUGAAAGGGGAGAGUGCCUUCGGGAGCGCGAACACAGGUGGUGCAUGGCUGUCGUCAGCUCGUGUCGUGAGAUGUUGGGUUAAGUCCCGCAACGAGCGCAACCCUCGUUUUUAGUUGCCAGCACUUAGGGUGGGCACUCUAGAGAGACUGCCGGUGACAAACCGGAGGAAGGUGGGGAUGACGUCAAGUCAGCAUGCCCCUUACGCCUUGGGCUACACACGUACUACAAUGCUCCGGACAGAGGGCAGCAAGCUAGCGAUAGCAAGCUAAUCCCAUAAACCGGAGCUCAGUUCAGAUCGCAGGCUGCAACUCGCCUGCGUGAAGGAGGAAUCGCUAGUAAUUGCAGGUCAGCAUACUGCAGUGAAUUCGUUCCCGGGCCUUGUACACACCGCCCGUCACACCAUGGAAGCUGGUAGUGCCCGAAGUCAUUACUCCAACCUUUCGGGGGGGAGGAUGCCUAAGGCAGGACUGGUGACUGGGGUGAAGUCGUAACAAGGUAGCCGUA